This 253-nucleotide ribosomal RNA is filed under the name uncultured bacterium. RNAcentral's name for it is "partial 16S ribosomal RNA". It matches the Rfam family "Bacterial small subunit ribosomal RNA", at positions 524 to 776 of the family's 1533-position model. The record is from RNAcentral.
UACGGCGGGUGCAAACGUUGCUCGGAAUUAUUGGGCGUAAAGCGCACGUAGGCGGUUCGUUAAGUUGGAUGUGAAAGCCCUGGGCUCAACCCAGGAAGUGCAUACAAAACUGGCGAGCUUGAGUACAGAAGAGGGUCUCGGAGUUCCCGGUGUAGAGGUGAAAUUCGUAGAUAUCGGGAGGAACACCAGUGGCGAAGGCGGAGACCUGGGCUGAUACUGACGCUGAGGUGCGAAAGCGUGGGGAGCAAACAGG